UCGCCCAUGACUAUGCUACAAACAUGAAGAGGAAGCUUGACCAGAUGAAGGAAUUUGAUGGUAAGGUUUUACUUGAUCAUCAGCGGUUUGUGGGUUUGUUCCAAAGGCAUUUAUUGCCUUCGUCCUCUGGGGCUGUACCUGGUAAUGAAGCUUCAAAUGAUGAACCUCCAAUGCCUCAUCCUUCUGGGGUUUUGUCAAGUACUGAGGCUCCGGAUAACCACCCUCCGGUGCUUUCUCUUUCUGAGGCUCUACCGACUGCUGAGACUUCCCCUAAGCAACCUUUGUGAAGGCUCCCUUUUGUUUAUUUAUUUUGACUCAUGUAUAUGUACAUAUUUGUGGCUUUAUCGAAAAUAUUAAUAAAUAAGCUUUGCUUCAUUUCAACAUAUUGUGUUAAAUACACCAAAGCCUUCUUCAGAAAGUUCUUUGAAUUUUUUCUUUUGUUGAAACUUGUAUUGUUGAAGCUUUGUGAGUGAAGCAUGUAGUUUGAGGUAGUGUUCCCUUAAUUUCCCGAGUGAGGAAAACUUCUCGGUUGGAGACUUGAAAAAUCCAAGUCACUGAGUGGUUGUGAGACUGCCGAGUAUCAAGGUGCAGUAGCAUAUGGUGGGAGUCCCCCAAGUCUUCAGGCGAGGAGAGUUGCCGAAUGAGGUGUCUUGCUUGCUACUAAUUUGUCAAAGUAACGAAGCCGUGUUUUGAUGUCACACCUUCAUAUAUGCCUUAUCUAAAAAUAUUUCCAACUUUCGUGUGUUUGAUGCUGCAUGUUAUUGACUAGACAAGAUCAAGUGCAAUUAGUAGCUUUUCUCUCUUUUUCAUCUUUUCUUUGGUGGAAUUGCUUUUCGUUUCCACUAAUCAGCCUUAGUGGAUGCAAGAUAACACCAUUCUCUAUAGCUCAUAUUGCAAAGUCGUCUUCAUGAAAGUUGUUCCUUAUCUUGUGAACUACAACAUAUCCAAGUUUGAGAUCCAUCGGAGUAGUACAACUUCAGAAAUGCAGGUAUGAUGAGUAACUGUUCAUCAAUUUUCUGUUAACCCGUCAGACUUGUUGUGAGCUUCGAAACUCCAUUUUCUCUUGUUCAGAUCAACAUACUUUCUUCAUCGAAGUUGUUCCUCAUCAUCUCUUCCAUAACAUAUCAAAAAUUCAGAACAAACUAACGGUUGAAUAUUUCCAGAUCUUCGAAACACCGCAGCAGCUUCGAAGCUUGCAGAAAUCUGACCGUCAUGUUUGGAGCUUCAACACUCUAACUUCCGUCGCUCAAAUAGAAAAAUUUCCUUCGUGAAAGUUGUUCAUCUGCUCAAGAACUAUAAGAUGUCCAAAAUUCAGCUCCACUGGAAUUAGCUUCGCACUAUCUUGAUGAAGAGUGUGUGAAGCUUUUAUGUGUUUUGGUGUUGAAAUUUGGUAUUGUAGGUGAAGUUUUGGUGUUGAAGCUUUGUGUUUGAAGCUUUAUAGGUGAAGCUUGAUAGGUGAAGCUUUGUGUUUGAAGCUUUA
RNAcentral lists this long non-coding RNA (1480 nucleotides) under Malus domestica (apple). RNAcentral's name for it is "long non-coding RNA (MDOM_LNC008141)". Lineage: Eukaryota; Viridiplantae; Streptophyta; Magnoliopsida; Rosales; Rosaceae. The record is from RNAcentral.